Ictalurus punctatus (channel catfish) is the source of this 1651-nucleotide long non-coding RNA. Lineage: Eukaryota; Metazoa; Chordata; Actinopteri; Siluriformes; Ictaluridae. The record is from Ensembl.
GGGUGGAGUGUGUAGGGGGUGGGAGUGUGACUAAUAGAAGAAGCUCUUACUCUUUUGUUUUUAGGAGCCAACAGCAAAGCACGAACAAUUCUCUCUUGUGUUUUAAAUUGUUUUUUUCUUUUUCUUUCCCCUCUUUAAGUGCACUAGCAAUAACUGGGUCUUCCUGUGACAUCAGCGUGGCACACAACCGCUAACUUAUACAGCACCAACCAUCAGAUUUGCACCAGAAUCACUAACACAUCAGAAAUAUAUCAAUAUAAACAUAUAUCAUGUGCUUCAGGGUGGAGGAUUCCUUUAAAUCCUAGACAAUUUAAAGUUGCAACUAUAUUUUGGUGUCUUGUUUUUUUGUUUUUUUGUUUUUUUAUUCAGGUUGUUUUUGUUUUUUUUAACUGAAACUAAACUGGACCAUUUCAAAAUAUCUCAUCGUAGAUAAAAUUAAUUCUAGAAAUACGAUAGAGCCUGUUACUCGUGUAAUAUCCCCCUCCAUUACUACUCGUUAUCCUCGUCAGCCUUCUUCCUCGCUAAACGCCUGAAUCAGGUCAUCCUCUCCUCACCAGCUACGUGUAUGUGUGUGUGUGUGUGUGUGUGUGUGCCACUUCAACACACACUCACGGCCUCGUGCGAAGCUCUGCGUGCUGAUUAUACGCACCAUCGGCUGUCUUAAUUCUUUAGUUUGUUCAAGGGUGGAGGUGUUUUUAAUGUCUUAUUUGAUAAGUAAUCUACAGCUAGCUGAACCUGUGCACCUGAGUAAAUCAUUAAACUAUAGUCCAGCUGUAAAACUUGCUGUGUCGUAUGUGUAAAGAUUCGGAUUAUUUAUUUUGAAUAUACUCUCUCUGUCUCUCUCUAUCUCUCUCUCUCUCUCUCUCACUGUGUGUCUCUCUCUCUUUCUGUGUGUGUGUGUGUGUGUGUGUGUGUGUGUGUGUCUCUCUUUCUCUGUCUCUCUCUCUUUCUCUCUGUCUCGCUCUCUCUUUUGACACAUCAGCCAUUUUUCAGUGAAAAAAAAAAGGAAUUUUGGUUGAUUUUUUUUUAAGUCAUAUGUGACAUGUUUGAUUUCUGCUCUUUUGUAAAAUGCUCGUUUUCCUUGUUUGGUUUUUUUUAAUGAUGUGUGUUAAUUUUGUAAUGUUAAUUUUCUUUUUUUUUUUUCUUGUAUGCUGCCCUUCUUAGUUUGAUUUAUGCCUCGUAAAAUCUGAUAACUGAUUAAUCUUUCAGUUUCUUCUGGGAACCUCAUAUUGAUGAGUGUACAUUUGAUAAGUGUAAAUUAUGUUUUCAACAUUUUAUAAAAAAAUAUAUAUAUUAAAAAUAUUUCUGAUUGAACCUUUUUGUUUGCAUGUGUGUGUGAACAUCAAUGUGAACACCUACAGUGCACUUUGAAGGUUUUUUUUUUCCCCUCGCAAGAAAACCUAAUGUGUUUUGUUUUUUUUUGUUUUUUUUUUAACACGUGUCUAAUGUUAAAUGAACGCGUCGGAGAGGAGCGUCCAGUCUCCAUUAAAAUCUUUCACUAAAUUAAGAUGGCUGUAUGUGUUCAUUUCAGCGAAACUUUAGCAAAAAAAUCACGUUCACAAAGUGACACUGAGAGAACUGAAAAUAUCCACAACGAGAGUCACUAGCAUGCUUAAUGCCAUCAUUAAUCAGUUCAAAUCUGAACUCCCAU